Cordylochernes scorpioides is the source of this 115-nucleotide non-coding RNA. Lineage: Eukaryota; Metazoa; Arthropoda; Arachnida; Pseudoscorpiones; Chernetidae. The record is from the annotation of a GenBank genome assembly.
ACGGCCAUACCACAUUGAAAACACCGGUUCUCGUCCGAUCACCGAAGUUAAGCAAUGUCGGGCCCGGUCAGCACUUGGGAGAGUGACCACCUGGGAACACCGGGUGCUGUAGGCU